RNAcentral lists this ribosomal RNA (399 nucleotides) under uncultured bacterium. RNAcentral describes it as "bacterial SSU rRNA". It matches the Rfam family "Bacterial small subunit ribosomal RNA", at positions 29 to 417 of the family's 1533-position model. The record is from RNAcentral.
AAUGAACGCUGGCGGCGCGCCUAAUACAUGCAAGUCGAGCGAGAAGACGUAGCAAUACGUUAGUAAAGCGGCGAACGGGUGAGGAAUACAUGGGUAACCUACCCUCGAGUGGGGAAUAACUAGCCGAAAGGUUAGCUAAUACCGCGUACGCUCCUUGGACUUCGGUUCAGGGAGGAAAGCGAUACCGUGGGUAUCGCGCUCUUGGAUGGGCUCAUGUCCUAUCAGCUUGCNGGUGAGGUAACGGCUCACCAAGGCUUCGACGGGUAGCUGGUCUGAGAGGACGAUCAGCCACACUGGCACUGCGACACGGGCCAGACUCCUACGGGGAGCAGCAGUAAGGAAUAUUGCGCAAUGGGCGAAAGCCUGACGCAGCGACGCCGCGGUGGGGGAUGGAAGGUC